GCGAAUUUAACUCGAGUUGGAGCUUGUGCAGAAGGAAGUCCUCGUGCCACUCUCAGUGCCACUGGGGUAGAGUUGGCCAGACGAGGCUGUGGGGGCACAGCUCAGGCGGCAGGGACGGGGACAGACACGAGGCAGGCCCUGCUGAGCCAUCGGAGCGUGGCAGUCCAGGCACAGGGGUCAUGUGCAUGGCGUCCUGGGUCCAGAGGACAGAGGCCCAGCUGCCCUGUGCGGAGUUUCGGGUGUCCUCCCGGGAGGGAGGUCCAAGAGCGCCCCGCAUCAGCCUGAGGGAGGGGAGGCUUCUGCGUCCUGGGAGCUGUGCAACCCCUGCCGGAACAAUCAAGAAACUGAGGCAGGGGAGAGAACGGGACUGACUGUGUCCACGAGGGUAAGCAGUGUCCAGUCAGGAAUGGAGGGGCCUGGCUUCCCAGGCCAGGCUCAGCCCUACAGGGUCUGCAAGGGGAAUGAAGGCCCCUCAGAUCUGGGGGAUCCCUGCCCCCCCCUCCUCUGUAGGCCAUUUCCUCUCUGCUUUAUGAGCUGCACCCAGAAGUGCAGCACACACUCACUUAUACUCCCUCACAUGCUAACACACUCACACACAUAGACUCACAGGGCCCAGGGCAGAGGAGCGGGACCCUGGGAGGUAAGGAAGAAGGAAGACGUUGGAGGCAGCUCUGCCAAGGCCCAGGGGCAUCCAGUCUCCUAGCAGCAAGCCAGGGUCAUUGCAUGGGAGGGGGGACUUUCCACGGUGAUGGGGUCCCCCCAGGCUCCCAGGGUCUGUCUGCCUGGGCUGGGGACACCCCCAGAGCAGCCCAAGAGGACACACUGGGGCCCAGAGCCCAUGGAUUGGGUCACGUGGGAGAGGAUGAGACCCCUCAGUGAGGGGGGCCCACAGGAGAGGAGGACUCAGUCCUGCUCUAUGAAUUAGAUGCUCGGCCCGGGUGAUGCAGGGUCCCGCGGCUCCUGAAAGUUUCUGGAAGUUUCUGAAACGCGGUCCUCCGUUGAUGGCCCAGGGCCCCUGUGUUGCUAGCACAUGGUUCCUCUUCACUGGGCUCCCCCUGAGCAGAGCAGCCCAGGGACUGGGCACCUAGAGCCCCGGGCCCCUCGUCCUAGGUCCAGGGCGAGACCAUCCCUGUGGACUCAUGGGGUCCUCAGUUGGACGUGGCUGGGGUCACUGUCCUGGCUGGGAGCCUGGAGCCCUCUGGAGUGAGCCGGACACCUGGGGCAGCAGAGGAAAGGGGACAAGGGAGACUGAAAUCCUUCAUCACGCAGGGCUGGCUCUUGCACCCUCUGGGCCUCUGGGGGACUCCACGCCCAGCCGCAGUUCAGGUGUCCUGCCAGGGCGCAGUGCUACUGCUGGCCACCAGGGGGAGCAGUCCCUACCGUGCUGCAGGGACCCUGCCUCCCACCCAGGGGCACUCCAGCCUGGAGGAGAUCCUGUGCCCAGGGCGAGCUGCCCGGGGCAGGACAGCUCGGGCUGCUCUCACCUCCUCUCUCGGCCCCAUGCCGAACACCACCAAACCAUGGCCAUGAGCCAAGUCCAGUGUCCCAGUCACCGGAAGCCGUUCCCUCACCCCCGUCACCUCCCUGGCCCCCGGCCCCUAACGUGCUCCUGUCUCCGUGGACGCGAAGCGGCGGCCCACGUCACCUGAGGCUCAGUGUGUGCCUUUCGGGGAGUGGCUUCUUCCGUUGGAGUGUCACCGUUCCCCUUGCUGUAGCGUGUGUCCAACGGCACCCUCUCCACGAGUCGGGCUCUGUGCUGUGGACGACACCACAGCGCGUGGUUUCCCCCACUCACCCCUGGGGGGCGCUGCGGUUGUCCCUACUUGAGGCUGUCGGGGGCCUGAGGGCGUGGCUGGAGAAGUGGGCGGGGCCGUCAGAGACCCCAGGUUGGCACCGGCGACUCUCAGGACCCUCGUGCAGACCUCAGGAGCUCCCGAGAGUCGGACGGCUGGAGGAGAGCAGACGCUCGGGAGGAGCCCGCUGUCUCGUCUCCUCACGGUAGCCCGCCCUGGCUUUUGCAGACCCAAGAAAGAACCUGGAAUACUUUUGUUUGGCGACCCACGUCUAAAGGAAUGACCUGACAGCACGCUGGCGAAGCCAGCCAGGAGCUGACAGAGGAGCGAGCCUUCGUGUGGCGUUUCAGCUUCUCUUGGGGGAGCACCAGGAAUGACGCUGCAGGCCGUGAGGUAGCUGUGUCCCUGCCAGUGCUGGAUGUGGGCUCUGGUUUCUCCCCAUCCUCGCCAGCCCUUGUUCUCAUCUGGCUUUCAAUUCUGGCGUCUGGGUGGGCCGAAGUCGCACUUCCUGUGCCUUUGAUCUGCCCCAGGUUCCUAGUUACUAAUGAUGCUAAGCAUCAUCUCCCAUCCUAUUGGCCAUCGCAGACCAGGCCUGGAGGAGAACCUGUCAAAUCCAACGCCUGUUUUGAAGGGGCUGUUUGAUGUCACUGAGCUGUAUUUUGUAUCAAGUGCUCCUGGGUUUCUCUGGCCAGGCUGUGGGUCCCACCUCCCUGGGAUCUGGCGUCUGGGCCGACACGGGACCUCUGUGCACCUCCGGGCUCUUCCUUUCCCUUGCGGGCCUCUGUCUCCCAUGCUGGUCAGCGCUGCUGCCCCGUGUCCCUCCCCAGUCUCUGCCCCAGCAAGGCCGCCCCGCCCUGGGUCCCUCUCUGCCGGAUCCCUCUCUGCCCUCCGGCUUCGAGCUGCCAUGAGGACGGCUGACCUCGUCUGCCCCGCUCAGGGAUCGCAUCGCAGCCGAGCCCCACUGGGGUCGGCGUCUACACAGCCCGUCACGGGUUCUGACCCGCUUUCCCUUCGUCCAUGGCGGGACGGCCGCCCACACCUGUCACUCCCAGCCCCCAGGCAGACGGCACGGCACCGGCACUCUGGGCCGGACCAUUGCAGUAUCGUCCCAGCUGCUCCUCUGCUUCUGUGCUCCUCACGACCUGUCCUCGGUGAGCACGGGGCCGACCCUUUAAGAGUGCCUCACCCUCACUCUGUCAAGGCCUCCAGGGCCCCAUUCCCCUCAGAGGAGAGCCUGGGGUCCUUGUAACACCCUCAGCCCCACAGCGGGCCCUGCCCUCCCGGGCCCGAGUUUCUGCCCGUCCUCCCCAUACCUUCCCGGCACGUGCCAGGCCCCGGCGCCCCCAGGCCAGCACUGACGUCCCUCCCCCAGGCGCCUCUCCCGCCGGCCGUUCAUGCCUCACUUCCCCCACUAUCUUCAGUUCUCUGAGCAAAUGCCGCCUUGGUGAGGCUGACCGCACCCUUCCAUCUAAAACACAAACACCCCUUGUCCCCCCAGCCACUGUCCGACCUGUUCCAUUUGCUUUUCCCCCAUAGCCCUUAUGACCUUUAAUAAAAAUGAUAUAUAAUUAUAUGAAUCAGCGAUCAAUCAGGAGCGAGAAC
RNAcentral lists this long non-coding RNA (3395 nucleotides) under Heterocephalus glaber (naked mole-rat). Its description in RNAcentral is "lncRNA (ENSHGLG00100042188.1)". The record is from RNAcentral. Lineage: Eukaryota; Metazoa; Chordata; Mammalia; Rodentia; Bathyergidae.